RNAcentral lists this long non-coding RNA (248 nucleotides) under Vigna radiata. RNAcentral describes it as "long non-coding RNA (VRAD_LNC003365)". Lineage: Eukaryota; Viridiplantae; Streptophyta; Magnoliopsida; Fabales; Fabaceae. The record is from RNAcentral.
ACUGAGUGUUCCCUGGACUAUAUUCAUCUACCGAUGGAGGAGGCGAUGGCGGAGUUGGGUCUCUGUAACCCGUCCAGUCAGGCUGUUCAGGAAUGUAAUCUAUGUUCUCGUUUAAAUCAACACUGACACGAGGGGCGACCCGAUCACGAUGUCUUAGACGAGCCGUGCGAACACCCCUCCCAGUCGCUCUAUCAGCAGCCCAUAACUCCACCAUCAAAUCAUAAUUUUUUAUGGAUGUCACUCUCCAC